This 72-nucleotide transfer RNA is filed under the name bacterium. RNAcentral describes it as "tRNA-OTHER". The record is from RNAcentral.
ACCAGGUAGUUUACGCGGUCUUAAACUCCGCUGCCCCUUGGGGGCGUGUGGGUUCGAAUCCCACCCCGGGUA